RNAcentral lists this ribosomal RNA (436 nucleotides) under uncultured bacterium. RNAcentral's name for it is "bacterial SSU rRNA". It matches the Rfam family "Bacterial small subunit ribosomal RNA", at positions 1006 to 1533 of the family's 1533-position model. The record is from RNAcentral.
ACACCUCCUCUUCGAGUUUGGGCGUGUGAAGGCGAGAGGGCACGGCGCAAAUACACCGCUCAAAGUCCGCGACAUUGACCACCUGAACCCCCUGGGCAGAACAACAACACCUCUACAAAUGACACGUCACCAGUGCGUUGGCGACUACCGCACGGGAGGUGGCUAAGCGCCCAGGAGGGUCCAGUGCAGAUCGGGGGGCUGCAACUCGCGCCCCGUGGAGGGGGGAGUUGCUAGUAAACACGUAUAAACCAUGGCGCGGUCAAUACGUACCCGGACCUUGUACACACCGCUCGUCACGAAAUGGGAGUGCCAAGAAUGAAGUACGUCGCUAAACGUUCGCGGGAGGCAUAGACUAGGGCCGGGGUCCUACUGGUACGAAGUCGUAUUUAGGUAAGUUCGGUCGUCCGGCUCGACUCAAGGGCGAACUCUGUAGAUG